This 468-nucleotide ribosomal RNA is filed under the name uncultured bacterium. RNAcentral's name for it is "partial 16S ribosomal RNA". It matches the Rfam family "Bacterial small subunit ribosomal RNA", at positions 28 to 507 of the family's 1533-position model. The record is from RNAcentral.
GACGAACGCUGGCGGCGUGCUUAACACAUGCCAGUCGAACGGAAAGGCCCUGCUUUUGUGGGGUGCUCGAGUGGCGAACGGGUGAGUAACACGUGAGUAACCUGCCCUUGACUUUGGGAUAACUUCAGGAAACUGGGGCUAAUACCGGAUAGGAGCUCCUGCUGCAUGGUGGGGGUUGGAAAGUUUCGGCGGGUGGGGAUGGACUCGCGGCUUAUCAGCUUGUUGGUGGGGUAGUGGCUUACCAAGGCUUUGACGGGUAGCCGGCCUGAGAGGGUGACCGGCCACAUUGGGACUGAGAUACGGCCCAGACUGCUACGGGAGGCAGCAGUGGGGAAUAUUGCACAAUGGGCGGAAGCCUGAUGCAGCAACGCCGCGUGCGGGAUGACGGCCUUCGGGUUGUAAACCGCUUUCGCCUGUGACGAAGCGUGAGUGACGGUAAUGGGUAAAGAAGCACCGGCUAACUACGUG